UACGUAGGGUGCAAGCGUUGCCCGGAUUUACUGGGCGUAAAGAGCGCGCAGGCGGCUGGUCAAGUCCGAUGUGAAAUCUCCCGGCUCAACUGGGAAACUGCAUCGGAAACUGAUCGGCUUGAAGAUGGGAGAGGGUAGUGGAAUUCCCGGUGUAGUGGUGAAAUGCGUAGAUAUCGGGAGGAACACCAGUGGCGAAGGCGACUACCUGGCCCAUUCUUGACGCUGAGGCGCGAAAGCUAGGGGAGCGAACGGG
RNAcentral lists this ribosomal RNA (253 nucleotides) under uncultured bacterium. RNAcentral's name for it is "partial 16S ribosomal RNA". It matches the Rfam family "Bacterial small subunit ribosomal RNA", at positions 524 to 776 of the family's 1533-position model. The record is from RNAcentral.